Molecule: ribosomal RNA, 411 nt
Filed under: uncultured bacterium
Lineage: Bacteria
Description: bacterial SSU rRNA
Rfam family: Bacterial small subunit ribosomal RNA
Source: RNAcentral
AAUGGGGGAAACCCUGACGCAGCGACGCCGCGUGAGCGAAGAAGGCCUUAGGGUCGUAAAGCUCUGUUUUAGGGGACGAAUGUCUAGAGCAAUAACACAGCUUUAGAAUGACGGUACCCUAAGAGGAAGCCCCGGCUAACUACGUGCCAGCAGCCGCGGUAAGACGUAGGGGGCGAGCGUUGUCCGGAAUUACUGGGCGUAAAGAGCACGUAGGCGGGACUUUAAGUCAGGUGUGAAAUACCGGGGCCUAACCCCGGGGCUGCACCUGAAACUGGAGUUCUUGAGGGCAGGAGAGGGCAGUAGAAUUCCUGGUGUAGCGGUGAAAUGCGUAGAAAUCAGGAGGAAUACCAGUGGCGAAGGCGACUGUCUGGACUGACCCUGACGCUGAGGUGCGAAAGCGUGGGUAGCAAA